Molecule: long non-coding RNA, 284 nt
Filed under: Rattus norvegicus (Norway rat)
Lineage: Eukaryota; Metazoa; Chordata; Mammalia; Rodentia; Muridae
Description: long non-coding RNA NONRATT032525
Source: RNAcentral
CUGGAAUUAUGUCUCGUUGAAAUUUGACGGCCUUCUCUGACAUCAUCUUGGCCUGCUGUGAUCCCCAGUGGUCCACCUGCCAAUUUCCCCUUGACUGAUGAUGCUUCAGUGCUGCCGUAGUGGAGUCCCCUCCUCUGCUCCAUUCGAAGCCCCUCCGCCCAGCUUUAAGAGGGAAUGCAUAAAUCUAUCUGGAAAACUUCUGUUAAGUACACUGUGUGACUUCUGCAAGAACAGACAAAUAAGGACCGAAGACUGGGCUCGGAGGUAAGACUCUGGCUGCUCUU